UGCCUAUGUUACUACAUGUCGUAAGACC
RNAcentral lists this non-coding RNA (28 nucleotides) under Mus musculus (house mouse). The record is from RNAcentral. Lineage: Eukaryota; Metazoa; Chordata; Mammalia; Rodentia; Muridae.